This 68-nucleotide transfer RNA is filed under the name Lophius litulon. RNAcentral describes it as "tRNA-Ser". The record is from RNAcentral. Lineage: Eukaryota; Metazoa; Chordata; Actinopteri; Lophiiformes; Lophiidae.
GGGAGAGGCUGGCCAGCAACGAAAACUGCUAAUUCUCGCUACUUUGGUUGAACUCCAAAGCUCACUCA